This 416-nucleotide RNase P RNA is filed under the name Anaerolinea sp. RNAcentral describes it as "RNase P RNA component class A". It matches the Rfam family "Bacterial RNase P class A". Rfam says of the family: Ribonuclease P (RNase P) is a ubiquitous endoribonuclease, found in archaea, bacteria and eukarya as well as chloroplasts and mitochondria. Its best characterised activity is the generation of mature 5'-ends of tRNAs by cleaving the 5'-leader elements of precursor-tRNAs. Lineage: Bacteria; Bacillati; Chloroflexota; Anaerolineae; Anaerolineales; Anaerolineaceae. The record is from RNAcentral.
CAGGUUGACUGGGUGAUCGCAGCUCACGCUUUUCCGAAGCCGUGAACCGAUUACGGAUUACCGAUUACGGAUUACCGAUUACGGAAAUGUGAGCUGAGGAAAGUCCGCACUCCACAGAGCACGGCGCCGGCUAACAGCCGGGCGGGGCAACCCGACGGCAAGUGCAACAGAGAGGCAUAGUGCCAGCGAUCACGCUGGCGAGGGUGAAACGGUGGUGUAAGAGACCACCGGCGGUGGCAGUAAUGCUGCCGGCCAGGCAAACCCCGCCGGGAGCAAGGCCAAGCAGGGCAAAGGGGCUGCUCGUCCCGUUGAUGUCCGGGUAGGCUGCGCGAGGGCGUCAGUAAUGACGCUCCCAGAUAGAUGAUCACCACCCCACUUGUGGGGAACAGAAUGCGGCUUAUAGGCCAACCUGAAAU